This is a long non-coding RNA of Gallus gallus (chicken), 4209 nucleotides long. RefSeq lists it as uncharacterized. The transcript has 3 exons. NCBI's taxonomy places the organism in Eukaryota, Metazoa, Chordata, Aves, Galliformes, Phasianidae. The record is from RefSeq and is a predicted model, not a curated record.
CUGAUUUUAGCGCACAGCUCCGAAGGCACUCCCUGCCCAUUGUUCUGCAUGCCCCAGGCCAGAGCUGGCUGCACAACGCCGACAUCUGCGCUCGCUCUGUGCGUUCCUCAUACCACGGGGGGAUGGAAACAUCUGGGGGAAGGAUGGAGCGAGCCCUGCAGAAGGAGGAAGGUGAUGUGGAACAGAUGCCGGGAGCCGGCAGAGCCUUUGGAAGGGCUGCGUGCGUGCACGCAUGUGUGCAAGAGCUUCGUGGCUUCUGCUGGGAGAAGGGAGCUGCCCCGCUGCCUGCCACCCAGGGAGCGAGCCGCCCCACUGCGACAGGAGCUGGGCUGCCGUGCCAGGAGGUCACACGUUUCUCAAAGCUGCCGGAAGGCGGACAGCUUUGCAGCCAAGCAGAUGCUGCGUGCGCGGUGCUCACCCGCCCCGGGGAGCUGCGGGAGGGCCCCUCGCAGCCACGCAACCGGCACAGCGCGUGCUUUGGGACACCAAACAGCAAAGCCACAGAGCCUCAGCGUGUUGGGGUUGUGCGUUCAGAGGGAACCUGCACCUUCUGGACUCACCAAACGGCAGCCAAACCCGCGAGCCGAGCGCGGCAGCCCGCCAGCCCCUUGGAUUUGCUCUGUUACAAAUUACACACAGCCCGGGCAGGCAGGGCCUCUGCUCUUUGAAAACCUAUCCCUCGGUGUUUAUUAUAGAAACCAGUUGCCCUAUCUGUUGACAGCCAAAUUGCAAAAGGCCCCGCUGGAACCGCCGCCCCCCGUGCUCCCCUUCUGCCUGGGAUGCCUUUAUCUCAAUGGGCUUUGAGGUGCUGUGCUCGGGGACAGGGCUGCACAGCCACCCCCCGGUGCCACCAAGCACUCUCAGCAUGGAGAAAGCUCACCUGAAUGAUUGCAGUGCCACAAAGAGGACAGAAGGCUUCGCCGGUGUCUGCCUGCUGACUGAAGCUGUCAUUAUCAGCUCAAUAAAUCUCUGGCGCGGGUUUUAUUGAAUCGCUGCCUGAGGGGGAACAAGCCUGUAAAGGUUGAGGAGAGCAGAGCUUUCCCACGCCUGAGACACGCUGCCGGAGCUCUUGCACACAUUCCGGGCCUGCCAGCACUCCGCAAAUGUUUGGACAGCCUUGAACAAAUAACACACCUUUAAAGAGGCCAGCAUGAAAUUCUUCCUCACCCCUCGGCCGCCCUCCCGCUGCCUCGUGCCCCCCCCCCCAGCACCCCGCAGUGCUCCAUGUGUGUGUGCGCGCGGGGUUUAUUUUAGGCUCGUGGCCGUGCUCCAGUUUCGGGGAGGAGGAUGGAGGAUGGGGAUGGGAGGAGGUCUGGCUUUUCCUCCCACAGGUAGGAAACGGCUCCAGGCUGUGAUUUGGGGGAUGCCAAUGCUUUUUUUAUCUGUAUUCUCUCUGUUGCAUCUCAUGCUCUGCUCCGUGCCCCGUGGCACAGCGCAGGGGAUGGAGCCAGGAUUCGCCCCAGCGUGGCGGUGGGGCCGAGGGGAGCCUCAGCAAGGAUUAAUGGAGCAGCCAGCUGCCUGCCUGCUGAGUUCUGGGAAUGUCAAACACUGCAGCCAUCUCAACAGCUCCUAAAAUUCCCCCUGACUCGUUUCCUGUUGCUGCUUUCCCGAUGCUGAAAGGCUCGGGCUCCCGUGGAUUAAAAAAAAAAUAAGAGAAUUGGAGGGGUUCCAGAAUUUAGGUUUCUGCCUCCUCCAUCUUCCCUGUCAACGCGUCGUUAAAUAAGAAGCAGGAACGCUGUAUUCGCCGUGCGCUCCUCACCAAAGGGCUGAGCGAAAAUCCUGCUGGAUGCAGCAGGUGACAGUCGGGUUCCCUGCUCCCAGGGUCUGUCCCCGUGUGCCAUACCCGAGCAGAGGGCGGGAGGAGCUGCACAGACCAUGACUUGGCUCCCUUUGGGGAAGCAGAGGCACACCUGAGGCGGGGAUGCUGCAAGGGGCAGGCAGCAAGCUGCUGCACGCACCCACUGACAACCAGCCGCACCUCGGGCGAGGUCAACAGUGAACGUAGGAUGGGAAGAGCGAAGGUUGAGCAGCACGGCGCAGGGCUGGGUGCAAGGUCCAUUGCCAGCAUGCUCAUAAAGUGUGGAUAAGGGAGUGGUUUCCAGCUGAGAAAACCUCUCACGUUGGUUUAGAGGCCACCCAGGUGUCCCCAGGUUGGAGGGGGCCAUGUGUCACCCGAGGCACGCAGCAAGGAGGAGGCUCUGCUGUGCUUUGGUUCUGCAUUGGAAAGGCUUUGCAGACGCAUUGCUGGGAUGGGGUGGGUGGUCAAUGCUUCCUUCCUCGUGACCACACCCGCACGGAUUUGAGUCACUGUGGGAUGAUGCCAAGCAGAGGUUGGGCUGUGCUCUUCUCUCCCAAAAGCCCUUGGGGGGGUUGGGUGCAUCCCAGGAACCACAGCGGGGUUUGGAGCGUCCCACCACUUGCUGUGGCUUGGCUGGUUUGGCCAAGGUCUCAGCCCGGCUUGCUGGUGCAGCUGCCCCCUAAAAAAAGCACAGGAACCACCAGUUUGCAGCAGGAGGCAGAUCAAACCUCCUGUUUGCUUUCAAGCCUUCAAUUGUCCGUUAGCAAAGUGCACACCACAGAAUGGGUGGCCCCUUUCCUGGAGAAGCUGUGAAAACCUGCUCGGUUCCUGUGCUAGGAAAGCAAACAAACAAACACGACCCGGCGCUGGGUUUCAGCACACCAGAGCAUCUGGAAGCAAACCCCGAGCCCCUGCCUUGCUGAUAAGAGCCAGCUCCAUUGCCCACCGAUGGGAGAACCUGGGGAUGUAAUUAGAGAUGCGAAGCGCUCGAAACAAAGGGCGAAAAGCAAUCAGCGAAAGAGGAGGGGGAGAGCUGUGAAGAAAGCAGGGCAACAACCAUGGCCAACAGACCCAUGAGGACACGUGAGUGCUGGCUGCCCAUCUCCCUGAGCUCAUUUCGUGGUCCUACAGCGGGAAGAAGACAAGAGGGUUCCAUACCACGGGACAUGACUUUGCCUUCCAACCAUUGGAUGAUGCCAACGUCCCCUUGGAGGUCAGUUCGGACGAGGUGCCAAGAGCACAGACACACUCUGGAAAUCUCAUUCCACACACCCACCCCUCCUCCCUCCUCGUUAUCCUUUAACUUCCCAAGGCGACCCGUCCCCCUGUUUGCUUGUGGCUGCCACCGCGCCGCAUCGCUUGGCCCUGAGGUCACUGGGGAUUGACACCUUCACCCAAAGCCCCGGAUUCCACCCUGCCCUCCUUAGAGAUGCACCAGGCUGUCAGUAACGAGGCCACAGGUUUAUUCAGUGGAGAUCCCCAGAUCUCAAAAGAUAAUCUGGGAAUAAUUGGGACUUAAGGAACUUGUGUGAAUCUGAUUUUUCUGCGGCGCUGCCAUUCACGAAACAGAUGGACAUCUUAUUUCUCCCUAAUUUGAUGGGCUUUCUUGACAAAAUGGCAGAGGUUGCACUUUGCUACAAUAAUAACCUGCCACUCAGACUUUGUAAGGGGUUUGUGUAGAUUUCUUCUUAAUUAGACCGUGUCUCGCUAUCGGCGAGCUGCGUGCGUGUGUGCAGAGCAGGGAGAUGGGGAGCAGCUCCUCUGCAUGACAGAGCCUGCAAAAGAGUGGGGAGGAAUCAGGGGGCUUUCAUGUUUGUGUCACUGGCUGCUUUUUUUUUUUUUUUUUUUUUUUUUUAAGUCUCAUUUGGAAAAUAAAGAUUGGGAUGUGAGCUCAUUGUCUGGAUGAUAAUGUAUUCAUGGAUUUGCUCCCUCUCGCCCUGCAACCGAACAACAGUGCUGGGGCAGCUUCCAGGUUGGGGAGCAAGCCUGAAGGCACUGCAAACCCUUGGGAUUACUCUCAGGUUUGCAAAAACCACUUUUCACUUGCAAAAGAUUCCCAGUGCUGCCGUUUAACCCCCGACCUCCUAUUCUGCCUCCCUUUCCCUCCCAGCCCCUAGCAAAGUGGAUCCUUUGGUCAAGGCAUGGAACUGGGUCUACUCCAGCACCCCACUGUCAGCCAGCAGCACGCUUUCCUUGCUAUCCACUGUGCAAGGAAAAAGCAAUUGGGAACUUUUUGAUUACUCAGAUCCUUAAUUGAGCUCUGAUGUCUGGUUACGGUACCAAACAAAACUCAUCCACAAAUAGAAAUUGUUGGGUUGAGUGUUAUUUUUGCUCAUCUCGCUUUUGUGCCUUUAGAGAUAGGGCCCUUAGCUCAUCUCUGGAUGACACUGUCCAGGUCUGGUACAAAAUCC